GCGUCGGUAGUCCCGUAGGGGGCGGGAACGGUCUGUAAAACCGCUGUCAUAUUGGCCUCGUGGGUUCGACUCCCACCCGGCGCACCA
This 87-nucleotide transfer RNA is filed under the name Candidatus Nomurabacteria bacterium RIFCSPLOWO2_01_FULL_42_20. RNAcentral describes it as "tRNA-Tyr". It matches the Rfam family "tRNA". Rfam says of the family: Transfer RNA (tRNA) molecules are approximately 80 nucleotides in length. Their secondary structure includes four short double-helical elements and three loops (D, anti-codon, and T loops). The record is from RNAcentral. Lineage: Bacteria; Candidatus Nomuraibacteriota.